RNAcentral lists this ribosomal RNA (321 nucleotides) under uncultured eukaryote. Its description in RNAcentral is "partial 18S ribosomal RNA". It matches the Rfam family "Eukaryotic small subunit ribosomal RNA", at positions 1470 to 1796 of the family's 1831-position model. The record is from RNAcentral.
CCCUUAGAUGUUCUGGGCCGCACGCGUGCUACACUGAGUGGAUCAGCGGGUCAGGUUGCGCGAAAGCGUUUCCUAAUCUUUAAAUCCGCUCGUGAUGGGGAUUGACGGUUGCAAUUUUCUGUCAUGAACGAGGAAUACCUUGUAAGCGCGGGUCAUCAUCCCGCGCUGAAUACGUCCCUGCCCUUUGUACACACCGCCCGUCGCUCCUACCGAUUGAACGUUUUAGUGAGGCAUUUGGACCGACGCAUCUCAGUUUAACCGCUGGUUUGUGUUGGAAAGACUUCCAAACUUGAGCGUUUAGAGGAAGUAAAAGUCGUAACA